Molecule: non-coding RNA, 313 nt
Organism: Pelobates cultripes (western spadefoot toad)
Lineage: Eukaryota; Metazoa; Chordata; Amphibia; Anura; Pelobatidae
Source: the annotation of a GenBank genome assembly
CUUGCCAAAUGCUAGGUUAACCCCUUCCCGAUCGCAGACGUACGUCCGACAAAAACGGUCCUUAAAGACUGUGGACGUACAGCAUUUCUUAAUACUUCCCUGAUCGCCGCCUUUACAGCACAAACAGUCCCCCCUCUGCAAAUUUCUGAGUCCCCGAUACCUUUCAUGUCUAUCCUUGUGGCUAUCCCCAUAAAAUUCCCUGUUAUUUAAACACCCUAUUAUUUAAAAUAGUAAAUACGUGAUAAAUUAGUGCAUAGUGCAAGUGAAAAUAAAAUUAAAUAAACCUGACGCGCUUUAUGAUGCUCAAACUGCA